Molecule: long non-coding RNA, 2982 nt
Organism: Mauremys reevesii (Reeves's turtle)
Lineage: Eukaryota; Metazoa; Chordata; Testudines; Geoemydidae
Exons: 4
Source: RefSeq, a predicted model, not a curated record
ACUAAAUCCUUUCCCAGACCAUCUGCUGAGGAGUAGCUCACUUUUCCCAUCAACCCAGCCUUUGGCUCCAUCUAGGAUGGCUCUAGCCCCAAUCCAUCAAUUCUCUCCUUCCCCAAUCAGUUGAUUCCCUAUCCCUUCCCAACACAUACUGAGAUCGGUAAUUGCAACCCUUCACUUUCCUGUCAACCUGCUCCACAAGAACUCUGACCUCUAACUCAGGCUCAGUCUUACCAAACCUACCAUUCCAUCCUCUGCUGCAUCACAGCUCAGGUCUUUCCUUGCCACCCCCCUCCAGCUGUACAUACCUCCCAGCGGUACUCUGGAGAUGAAAUAAAAGCACUUUCUCUACUGCUUGAUGUAUUCAGUGUUUGCUCUGCCUUUGCAGGCAACAGAGAGCUGCAUAUGCAAAUUGUCCCUGGUCAGAGUUAGUACAGAGUCUUCAAGAUCUAACAGAGAUCUUAUGACCUUAUGGUCAUAGCACAGCUGCAUCCAAGUUUCCCUAGUGAUGGAGGGAAGCCAGGACCCAGAGGAGUUCCCUCAGAAGAAGAGGUUAAAUCAGCUACACCUGCAGCUCAAAGAGGGUUUCUCUAAGGUCUCAGGCUGUUGGUAAGAAGACUAUUCCUUCACUGCCUGCAGGAAUAUGCAAAAGGUUUCAAGGAUUGGAGGUUCUAAAGGGGCAGGCCAAUUACAGAAAUGAAGCAAAGCUUGUGCUCUCAUGCCGUUCUUUAGUGCCAGUAAUGUCUACAAAUACUACUGGAAAGUGGAUGUUAGUAUCAUUGGAACGAUAUUAACAGCAGCUUCCUGGACAGAGGCUUAUCAGAAAAGGGGUGUUAAACCAGAUCAGCAGCGGCUUGCCGAAAGUGACCCCAACCCCCCCCUGCACCGCCUCUCUUCAAGCAAACAUUAGCUGUCGGUACUCCAAACGGAGCCCCCCUGCCUGCCUCUCACUCAUUCAAAGUAAACAGUAGCUGUGUUUGUUUUUUUGAUAAGCAGCCCCCAGAAACAGAGCUUUGAAAGGGUACUUCCUCCUCCGGAGUUCACAACAAAACAAGAGAGGACGCUUCAGUUAAAAGGAUUAUGGGGAGUUUCCGGAGGUCAAUCAAGGCGUAAUAACAUUACUUCCCGUUUACACUGGAGCAGCAGCGUCUCAGCCAAUACGCAACCGCUUUUACUCCUCUCGGGAAGGUGGAGUACCAGCAGCGCUGUAGCCACGGAGACACAGCACUGUAUGUGCCUUGCCAGUGUGGACGGGGAGUGAGGUACAGCGCUCUGGGAGGCUUUAUUGUGCUGUAACUGGGAAGUGUAGCCAAGGCCUAAGUGUUCCAAGUUCCUCUGGUGAUUGGAAAUCACACUGAGAUUGAGUCCUGAUUCGGUGCAUGGUGAAAGGAACAAAAAGUGAAGCUGGAAUGUCCUAAACAGUCUAAGGUCCCCUCUACACACAAGUCAUGAAAGCUGGCUGCAAUAAAGGCUUAUCUAAACAUAGUUCUUCAGAAAGAGCUCUUUCUAUCUAGUUCUUCCUGAAUAACUCCACGUGUGGACACUUACUCUGGAAUAAAAGUGUCCACACACAGUUACUCAGGAACAGCUGAUUGAAAAAGCUUUCUGAAAAACUCCAUAUAUAGACAGGCUUAAAUGGCAUAAAGCUAUAAGUGUUCAGCAACCCCCAAAAACCUUGGUCCUGUCUAUACUAUAAAUUGUAACACCUUUAACAAAGGUCCUUCAAUGUAAGCUGAAACUAAGAAGUUGCAGCAUUAAGAGGAAAAGGGGGAACUCUGGAAACAGUCUGCAGUGUCUGUACAGCCAUUUAGGGAUGCUUCCAGGGUAACAGAAGCAUUUGAGAAAAGUUAAUAAGAGGCCUUGUAAACUUAACUGUUGCCAAGAAUUAUUUGAUAGAUAUGUUCUUGUCACCCUAAAGACAGCAAAUUCCAAAUUCAGCUUCUGGAUCUCAGGAACUGGCCUUGACAAGUUUCUCACCUAGCCUUUCACCACCCCUACCUCCACUGAGGUGAAACACAAGCCAUUCAAAUGUAACAAACUAUCAAAUUAAAUUAUGGACUCUUAAGUAGGGGGUGGAGAUGGGGAAACAAAACAAUGUAAACAGCAAAAACAUUAGCUUUCCAAAUCAAACUUACCCGUUAUAUAGCAGAUUGGGGUGGUUGUCCACUAAAUAUUUAGUAAAAUGGCCAAGUUGUCCCAGAUUCUCAUAGGGUAUUGUUGAAGGUAAAAAGACUGUCCACUAAGAGAAAUAUACACUUUAGUAAUCCCCAAAUUCUUACUUUAAGGAGAAAACAUUAAGCUUGAGCCUUUAAAUUUGAGUCCUCACAUCCCUCCUCAAAUUUGCUUGCUAUUAAACUAGACUCUUAUACAUGCUGAUUUCACAUAUGUGCUACUUUCUCAUCUUUGCCCAUUUCUCCCCCCAUCCUUAACAGGCAGGUUACUAGCCCUCUAAGCUUACUGCAACAUAAGAGGUGCUUGCAGGCUGGGGGAUCCAAGCAAAACAGACUUCUGACUGCAUUUCUUGUGCUAGUUAUACCAGAUGUAGGGGCAUAGGAAAUGAAAGGGAUGAAUCAUUAACAGCCAGGAACUAUGCAUGAUGUUUGACAGGCAAGAUAAAUUGUCUGUGGUAUGAACAAUUCAAAAUCUAACUUGCCAAUAAAUGCUGAUUAGACACUGAGGGUGUGGGAGAAGGGAGGAAAAGCAUAAUAGCUUUGGUUGGUAACCAGUAUGUCAGCACUUGCACAAUGCUUGAGUCGUGCAUGUGCAAUACUUCACCCACCUCAGAAAUGUUUUGAGGAGGAACUGGAAGGUAGGGACAUGGGGUCAGAAUAGAAGGGAACAGAGAGCAACCAGGUGGGGGGAAAGACUGGUGAAGGGUGAGGGUAGUGUUGUGUAUUUGGUUGUCAUGGGUUUUGUUACUAUGGCAACUGAGUUAGACUAUUAAGGGAUAGCUCAUCCGGUUUCAACCGGCUGAGUGAGCUCUCU